Uloborus diversus is the source of this 606-nucleotide long non-coding RNA. RefSeq lists it as uncharacterized. Lineage: Eukaryota; Metazoa; Arthropoda; Arachnida; Araneae; Uloboridae. The record is from RefSeq and is a predicted model, not a curated record. The transcript is spliced from 3 exons.
UUUUUUUCGACCCAACCACACCUACAUAUGCUCCUAAGAACAAAUAGAUGGCCAAAAUAUCCAUUUUGACGUUUUCAGAGUUGAUUACAAUGAAUUUUCUCAUGACUUCUGUAUGUAUGUGCGUUGUCGAAUAACUCAAGAACUGUAUGUCCUAUUAAGAUUCUCCCCUUCUUAACUAACAGUAUUUGUUCCAGCUUCAUCAAGUAAAGCAACAUUACCUCCAGAGGAAGCCCUCCCCUUCAAACUGCCAAUAAAAACACUGCAGGGCUUAUAUGAACUAGAUAAUGAGGUGCAAAACAGCGCUGUUGCUGAAAGUUUGACUAAAAGUCUUUCCAUUUGUGGAGGAACCACUGUGUCAGCAACUGUAAGGAGAAUACAAGGAAAACUGAUAGAUAGUUCAGUUGCACAACAUUUUAGCUGGUUGGGGGCAAAGGGGAAAAGGGUGUUUUCCCAGCUACGUCUUAGCCCCAUUAUAUUUGCUGCAACAAGAAAGAAUCCAAUGGUGGAAAAUGCUGCUACUGAUGCAGCAACAGAGAUAUCGAUAAAGAACUGGUUAAGGCAUGCUUGGAGAAGCACCAAGACAUUGCCAGUUAUGUCUCAGUCGUU